This 253-nucleotide ribosomal RNA is filed under the name uncultured bacterium. Its description in RNAcentral is "partial 16S ribosomal RNA". It matches the Rfam family "Bacterial small subunit ribosomal RNA", at positions 524 to 776 of the family's 1533-position model. The record is from RNAcentral.
UACGAAGGGGGCUAGCGUUGCUCGGAAUCACUGGGCGUAAAGGGCGCGUAGGCGGAUCUUUAAGUCGGGGGUGAAAGCCCAGGGCUCAACCCUGGAAUUGCCUUCGAUACUGAAGAUCUCGAGACCGGAAGAGGUAAGUGGAACUGCGAGUGUAGAGGUGAAAUUCGUAGAUAUUCGCAAGAACACCAGUGGCGAAGGCGGCUUACUGGUCCGGUUCUGACGCUGAGACGCGAAAGCGUGGGGAGCGAACAGG